GCGGGAGUAGCUCAGUUGGUAGAGCAUCACCUUGCCAAGGUGAGGGUCGCGGGUUCGAGUCCCGUUUCCCGCU
Molecule: transfer RNA, 73 nt
Filed under: Thermoanaerobaculum aquaticum
Lineage: Bacteria; Pseudomonadati; Acidobacteriota; Thermoanaerobaculia; Thermoanaerobaculales; Thermoanaerobaculaceae
Also listed under: 5 other names
Description: tRNA-Gly
Rfam family: tRNA
About the family: Transfer RNA (tRNA) molecules are approximately 80 nucleotides in length. Their secondary structure includes four short double-helical elements and three loops (D, anti-codon, and T loops).
Source: RNAcentral